GAUGAAGAACGUAGCGAAAUGCGAUAAGUAAUGCGAAUUGCAGAAUUUCCGUGAGUCAUCGAAUCUUUGAACGCACAUUGCGCCCCCUGGUAUUCCGGGGGCAUGCCUGUCCGAGCGUCAUUGCUGCCCUCAAGCACGGCUUGUGUGUUGGGCCUCCGUCCUCCUCCCGGGGGACGGGCCCGAAAGGCAGCGGCGGCACCGCGUCCGGUCCUCGAGCGUAUGGGGCUUCGUCACCCGCUCUUGUAGGCCCGGCCGGCGCUUGCCGACACAUCAAUCUUUUUUCCAGGUUGACCUCGGAUCAGGUAGGGAUACCCGCUGAACUUAAGCAUAUCAAUAAGCGGAGGA
RNAcentral lists this unclassified non-coding RNA (345 nucleotides) under soil metagenome. RNAcentral's name for it is "partial contains 5.8S ribosomal RNA, internal transcribed spacer 2, and large subunit ribosomal RNA". The stretch from base 1 to 120 matches the Rfam family "5.8S ribosomal RNA", at positions 35 to 154 of the family's 154-position model. The record is from RNAcentral.